Molecule: long non-coding RNA, 1154 nt
Filed under: Rattus norvegicus (Norway rat)
Lineage: Eukaryota; Metazoa; Chordata; Mammalia; Rodentia; Muridae
Description: long non-coding RNA NONRATT018393
Source: RNAcentral
ACCCUCAUUGCUCCCCCAUUGUUUCUUCCCCAUCUUUUCCUUUUUAAACAGAUCGACUUGGAGAACUGAAGCCCAAGCAAACCAGAGUGAGUACUGCCUCUCCCUACCCUGCUCCCCAGGGCCAGCUGAGUCCUCCAGCCAAGAACUUAACUGCAGAUCAAAGAGAAUUAUCCUAGUUCCGUGCUGUACCUUUUAAAUUUCACAUUAUUUCACCACUAUUACUACUACUACUACUACUACUACUACUACUACUACUACUACUAAUGUUAUGAUAGGAGCAGGUUGCUAAAGAAUACAGAAACACCCAAGUAGAAAGUGAAGUACUUAAUGUAAAUGUUGGUUAAGAGGGAGCAGAGCAGGCCAAUGGGAAGGGGAGGAGGAGAAAGAAAGAAGUGGGUAUCAGGUGGUGUGUGCUCAGUAGACAUGUUUACAACAGUUACAUUAGUAACACACUACCAUGUACAAUGAAUAGUAAUGAGAACUACAUGUAUGAGUUGGACUUGCAGAGAGGAAAGAUGGUCGCUGAAGGUCCUCCAGAAGGUUGUGUAGAGCAGGCCGAGUGACUGCCCUUGCACUCACUUUGAGCCAGCGCAGACUCACCCAGCCUUUCCACCAACCCUGCAGUCCAGGCUUCCAGAUGAGGAAGCAGGCUCUGGGUUAGACAAGUGCGGGGCUUGCUUCUAGAAAACAAAGUCUCUGGCACCAUUGCUGAAGUUGCCCUUCCUCUACGACCUUGUGGUCACUUGUCAUUCUGUCCCAACUCCUGGAGUGGGAGUGCCUGAAGAUGUGCCCACUGGGAAUCCGUGCUAAGGACAGGUGGCACCAAGCCGUGUGUAAGGCACACAACUUGUAGGUCUUAGGUCCUCCCUGUCUCUUCCUGAGACUUGCUUGUCAUGGAGCAUGUUGUGUGUAUACAUUCCUUCCAGCCGCCUGUCAUUGGAUGAAAGCUUGGAAGAGACAGGUAGUAUAUAAGCUCUGACCACAGCUGUCCCCUCCACAGUCUCUCUGCCACGCCUAGUGGACCUGGACUGGAGAGUGGAUAUCAAAACCUCGUCUGACAGCAUCAGCCGCAUGGCCGUCCCCACCUGCCUGCUCCAGAUGAAGAUCCAGGAGGACCCUAGUCUGUGUGGAGAGAAACCCUCUAUCUCGGCUGU